UACAGAGGGUGCGAGCGUUGUCCGGAAUCACUGGGCGUAAAGGGCGCGUAGGCGGCCUGAUAAGUAUGGGGUGAAAUCUUGCGGCUCAACCGCAAGGCUGCCUUCUAAACUGUCAGGCUGGAGCACGGUAGAGGCAGAUGGAAUUCCCGGUGUAGCGGUGGAAUGCGUAGAGAUCGGGAAGAACACCAGUGGCGAAGGCGGUCUGCUGGGCCGUUGCUGACGCUGAGGCGCGACAGCGUGGGGAGCAAACAGG
RNAcentral lists this ribosomal RNA (253 nucleotides) under uncultured bacterium. RNAcentral's name for it is "partial 16S ribosomal RNA". It matches the Rfam family "Bacterial small subunit ribosomal RNA", at positions 524 to 776 of the family's 1533-position model. The record is from RNAcentral.